AACGAACGCUGGCGGCAUGCCUAACACAUGCAAGUCGAACGAGACCUUCGGGUCUAGUGGCGCACGGGUGCGUAACGCGUGGGAACCUGCCCUUAGGUUCGGAAUAACUCCCCGAAAGGGGUGCUAAUACCGGAUAAUGUCUUCGGACCAAGGAUUUAUCGCCUUUGGAUGGGCCCGCGUUGGAUUAGCUAGUUGGUAGGGUAAAAGCCUACCAAGGCGACGAUCCAUAGCUGGUCUGAGAGGAUGGUCAGCCACACUGGGACUGAGACACGGCCCAGACUCCUACGGGAGGCAGCAGUGGGGAAUAUUGGACAAUGGGGGAAAGCCUGACCCAGCAAUGCCGCGUGAGUGAUGAAGGCCUUAGGGUUGUAAAGCUCUUUUACCCGGGAUGAUAAUGACAGUACCGGGAGAAUAAGCUCCGGCUAACUCCGUG
RNAcentral lists this ribosomal RNA (433 nucleotides) under uncultured bacterium. Its description in RNAcentral is "partial 16S ribosomal RNA". It matches the Rfam family "Bacterial small subunit ribosomal RNA", at positions 29 to 507 of the family's 1533-position model. The record is from RNAcentral.